RNAcentral lists this ribosomal RNA (275 nucleotides) under Escherichia coli. RNAcentral's name for it is "partial 23S ribosomal RNA". It matches the Rfam family "Bacterial large subunit ribosomal RNA", at positions 2674 to 2925 of the family's 2925-position model. Lineage: Bacteria; Pseudomonadati; Pseudomonadota; Gammaproteobacteria; Enterobacterales; Enterobacteriaceae. The record is from RNAcentral.
GCUCCUAGUACGAGAGGACCGGAGUGGACGCAUCACUGGUGUUCGGGUUGUCAUGCCAAUGGCACUGCCCGGUAGCUAAAUGCGGAAGAGAUAAGUGCUGAAAGCAUCUAAGCACGAAACUUGCCCCGAGAUGAGUUCUCCCUGACUCCUUGAGAGUCCUGAAGGAACGUUGAAGACGACGACGUUGAUAGGCCGGGUGUGUAAGCGCAGCGAUGCGUUGAGCUAACCGGUACUAAUGAACCGUGAGGCUUAACCUUACAACGCCGAAGGUGUUU